RNAcentral lists this ribosomal RNA (282 nucleotides) under uncultured prokaryote. RNAcentral describes it as "partial 16S ribosomal RNA". It matches the Rfam family "Bacterial small subunit ribosomal RNA", at positions 524 to 803 of the family's 1533-position model. The record is from RNAcentral.
CACGGGGGUUGCGAGCGUUGUCCGGAAUUACUAGGCGUAAAGGGCAGGCAGGCGGGUCCAUAAGUUUAUCGUUUAAGGCCUCGGCUUAACCGGCGUAGGGCGGUAGAUACUGUGGAUCUGGAAUGCGGUUGGGGAAGACAGAAUUCCUGGUGUAGCGGUGGAAUGCGCAGAGAUCAGGAGGAAUACCGAAGGCGAAGGCAGUCUUCCAAGCCGUUAUUGACGCUCAACUGCGAAGGUGUGGGUAUCAAACAGGAUUAGAUACCCCGGUAGUCCCUGAGCGGG